RNAcentral lists this ribosomal RNA (449 nucleotides) under uncultured bacterium. RNAcentral describes it as "partial 16S ribosomal RNA". It matches the Rfam family "Bacterial small subunit ribosomal RNA", at positions 29 to 523 of the family's 1533-position model. The record is from RNAcentral.
AACGAACGCUGGCGGCAUGCCUAACACAUGCAAGUCGAACGAGAUCUUCGGGUCUAGUGGCGCACGGGUGCGUAACGCGUGGGAAUCUGCCCUUUGGUUCGGAAUAACAGUUGGAAACGACUGCUAAUACCGGAUGAUGACGAAAGUCCAAAGAUUUAUCGCCAGAGGAUGAGCCCGCGUAGGAUUAGCUAGUUGGUGUGGUAAAGGCGCACCAAGGCGACGAUCCUUAGCUGGUCUGAGAGGAAGAUCAGCCACACUGGGACUGAGACACGGCCCAGAGUCCUAGGGGGGGGAGCAGUGGGGAAUAUUGGACAAUGGGCGAAAGCCUGAUCCAGCAAUGCCGCGUGAGUGAUGAAGGCCUUAGGGUUGUAAAGCUCUUUUACCCGGGAUGAUAAUGACAGUAUCGGGAGAAUAAGCUCCGGCUAACUCCGUGCCAGCAGCCGCCGCAG